Molecule: ribosomal RNA, 439 nt
Filed under: uncultured bacterium
Lineage: Bacteria
Description: partial 16S ribosomal RNA
Rfam family: Bacterial small subunit ribosomal RNA
Source: RNAcentral
CUACGGGCCGCUGCAGUGGGGAAUUUUGCGCAAUGGGCGAAAGCCUGACGCAGCAAUACCGCGUGAGUGAAGAAGGCCUUUGGGUCGUAAAGCUCUUUUGUAAGGGAAGAUAGUGACGGUACCUUACGAAUAAGCACCGGCUAACUCCGUGCCAGCAGCCGCGGUAAUACGGAGGGUGCAAGCGUUGUUCGGAUUUACUGGGCGUAAAGGGCACGUAGGCGGCAUAGUAAGUUAAGGGUGAAAUCCCGGGGCUCAACUCCGGAACUGCUCUUAAAACUGCUAAGCUAGAGAUAGUCAGAGGCGGGUAGAAUUCCUGGUGUAGAGGUGAUAUUCGUAGAUAUCAGGAGGAAUACCGGUGGCGAAGGCGGCCCGCUGGGGCUAUUCUGACGCUAAGGUGCGAAAGCGUGGGGAGCAAACGGGAUUAGAUACCCCUGUAGUC